RNAcentral lists this ribosomal RNA (301 nucleotides) under uncultured bacterium. Its description in RNAcentral is "partial 16S ribosomal RNA". It matches the Rfam family "Bacterial small subunit ribosomal RNA", at positions 509 to 807 of the family's 1533-position model. The record is from RNAcentral.
CAGCAGCCACGGGAAUACGUAGGUGGCAAGCGUUGUCCGGAAUUAUUGGGCGUAAAGGGCUCGCAGGCGGUUUCUUAAGUCUGAUGUGAAAGCCCCCGGCUCAACCGGGGAGGGUCAUUGGAAACUGGGAAACUUGAGUGCAGAAGAGGAGAGUGGAAUUCCACGUGUAGCGGUGAAAUGCGUAGAGAUGUGGAGGAACACCAGUGGCGAAGGCGACUCUCUGGUCUGUAACUGACGCUGAGGAGCGAAAGCGUGGGGAGCGAACAGGAUUAGAGACCCCUGUAGUCCCUGUCUCUUAUAC